Long non-coding RNA from Oncorhynchus tshawytscha (Chinook salmon), 5662 nucleotides. The record is from Ensembl. Lineage: Eukaryota; Metazoa; Chordata; Actinopteri; Salmoniformes; Salmonidae.
GGGCACUAGCCCCUAGCACCCUGGUCAAAGUAGGGCACUAGUCCCCAGCACCCUGGUCAAAGUAGGGCACUAGCCCCCAGCACCCUGGUCAAAGUAGUGCACUAGCCCCCGGCACCCUCAUCCAAGUAGUGCACUAGCCCCCAGCACCCUCAUCAAAGUAGUGCACUAGUCCCAGCACCGUGGUCAAGGUAGUGCACCAGCACCCUGAUCAAAGUAGUGCACUAGUCCCCAGCACCCUCAUCAAAGUAGUGCACUAGCCCCCGGCACCCUCAUCAAAGUAGUGCACUAGCCCCCAGCACCCUCAUCAAAGUAGUGCACUAGCCCCCAGCACCCUGGUCAAAGUAGGGCACUAGCACCCUGGUCAAAGUAGGGCACUAGCCCCCAGCACUUUUUAGCUGCAUUUACACAGUCAGCUGAAUUCUGAUCUUUUCCCCAAUUUUUGACAAAAUAGCUAAUUGAUCAAAAGGUGCAAUUAGUGGGAAGAAUAUUAUAAUUGUGUUGGCUGUGUAAACGCAGCCAUGUUGAAUUUGGUGUUUUAGAUGCAGUCCAGUGUAUUCUAUCCAUUCACUCAGCAGGUUAACAAAUCCAACAUCUGUCUUCACUUUCACACCUUUAUACAGAUUAUUCAGGAAGUAUUCAGACCCCUUCCCCCUUCUCCACAUUUUGUUACGUUACAGACUUAUUCUAAAAUUAAUUAAAUAAUCUCAUGAAUCUCAUCAAUCUACACACACUACCCCAUAAUGACAAUGCGAAAACAGGUUUUUAGAAAUGUUUGCUAAUUUUUUAAAUAAGAAACAGAAAUACCUUAUUUACAUAAGUAUUCAGACCCUUUGCUAUGAGACCCCAAAUUGAGCUCAGGUGCAUCCUGUUUCCAUUGAUCAUCCUUGAGAUGUUUCUACAACUUGAUUGGAGUCCACCUGUGGUAAAUUCAAUUGAUUUGACAUGAUUUGGAAACCAAGCCAUGAGGUCGAAGGAAUUGUCCGUAGAACUCCAAGACAGGAUAGUAUCGAGGCAUAGAUCUGGGAAUAGGUACCAAAAUAAUUAUUCAGCAUUGAACACAGUGGCCUACUUUAUUCUAAAUGAAAGAAGUUUGUAGCCACCAAAACUCUUCCUAGAGCUUUCUGCCCAGCCAUUGGGGGAGAAGGGCCUUGGUCAAGGAGGUGACCAAGAACCUGAUGGUCAUUCUGUGGAGAUGGGAGAACCUUCCAGAAGGACAACCAUCUCUGCAGCACUCCACCAAUCAGGCCUUUAUGGUAGAGUGGCCAGACAGAAGCCACUCCUCAGUAAAAGGCACUUGACAGCCCACUUGGAGUUUGCCAAAAGGCACCUAAAGAAAUCAGAUUCUCUGGUCUGAUGAAACCAAGAUUGAACUCUUUGGCCUGAGUGCCAAGCGUCACGUCUGGAAGAAACCUGGCACCAUCCCUACGGUGAAGUAUGGUGGUGGCAGCAUCCCUACGGUGAAGCACGGUGGUGGCAGCAUCCCUAUGGUGAAGCAUGGUGGUGGCAGCAUCCCUAUGGUGAAGCAUGGUGGUGGCAGCAUCCCUAUGGUGAAGCAUGGUGGUGGCAGCAUCCCUACGGUGAAGCAUGGUGGUGGCAGCAUCCCUACAGUGAAGCAUGGUGGUGGCAGCAUCCCUACAGUGAAGCACUGUGGUGGCACCAUCCCUACGGUGAAGCAUGGUGGUGGCAGCAUCCCUACAGUGAAACACGGUGGUGGCAGCAUCAUGCUGUGGGGAUGUUUUUCAGCUUCCAGGGACUGGGAGACUAGUCAGGAUUGAGGGAAAGAUGAACGGAGCAAAGUACAGAGAGAUCCUUAAUGACAACCUGCCCCAGAGCGCUCAGGACCUCAUUCUGGAGCGAAGGUUCACCUUCCAACAGGACCACAACCCUAAGCACACAGCCAAGACAACACAAGAGUGGCUUCAGGACAAGUCUGAAUGUCCUUGACUGGCCCAUCCAGAGCCUGGAUAUGAACCUGAUCGAACAUCUCUGGAGAGACCUGAAAAUAGCUGUGCAGUGAAGCUCCCCAUCCAACCUGACAGAGCUUGAGAGGAUCUGCAGAGUAGAAUUGAAGAAACUCCCCAAAUACAUGUGUGCCAAGCUUGUAGCGUCAUACCCAAGAAGACUUGAGGCUGUAAUCACUGCCAAAGAUGCUUCAACAAAGUACUGAGUAAAGGGUCUGAAUUACUUAUGUAAAUGUGAUAUUUCAGUUUUGUAUUUCUAAUAAAUGUAUAAACAUUUCUAAAAAAACAAACAGUUUUUGCUUUGUCCUUAUGGGGUAUUGUGAUGUCAUUAUGGGGUAUUGUGUGUCGAUUGAUGGGGGGAACAAUUAAUUCCAUUUUAGUAUAAGGUAACAACAUUUUUGGGAAAAAGUCAUGGGGUCUGAAUACUUUCUUAAUGCACAUUAUGUCUUGUUGUAUGGAAGUCUAUGCAUCACAUUAAAUGUGUCAUUUAGGAGACUCUCUCUUAUCCAGAGUCACUACAGUAGUGAGUCAUUUAACAGACUCUCUUAUCCAGAGACACUACAGUAGUGAGUCAUUUAACAGACUCUUAUCCAGAGACACUACAGUAGUGAGUCAUUUAACAGACUCUCUUAUCCAGAGACACUACAGUAGUGAGUCAUUUAACAGACUCUUAUCCAGAGACACUACAGUAGUGAGUCAUUUAGCAGUCUCUCUUAUCCAGACACUACAGUAGUGAGUCAUUUAGCAGACUCUCUUAUCCAGAGUCACUACAGUAGUGAGUCAUUUAACAGACUUAUCCAGAGACACUACAGUAGUGAGUCAUUUAACAGACUCUCUUAUCCAGAGACACUACCGUAGUGAGUCAUUUAACAGACUCUUAUCCAGAGACGCUACAGUAGUGAGUCAUUUAACAGACUCUUAUCCAGAGACACUACAGUAGUGAGUCAUUUAGCAGACUCUCUUAUCCAGAGACACUACAGUAGUGAGUCAUUUAGCAGACUCUUAUCCAGAGCCACCACAGUAGUGAGUCAUUUAGCAGACUCUUAUCCAGAGACACUACAGUAGGGAGUCAUUUAGCAGACUCUCUUAUCCAGAGACACUACAGUAGGGAGUCAUUUAGCAGACUCUCUUAUCCAGAGACACUACAGUAGGGAGUCAUUUAGCAGACUCUCUUAUCCAGAGACACUACAGUAGGGAGUCAUUUAGCUGACUCUCUGAUCCAGAGACACUACAGUAGUUUUUUUUAAAUUUAUUUUAUUUCACCUUUAUUUAACCAGGUAGGCAAGUUGAGAACAAGUUCUCAUUUACAAUUGCGACCUGGCCAAGAUAAAGCAAAGCAGUUCGACACAUACAACGACACAGAGUUACACAUGGAGUAAAACAAACAUACAGUCAAUAAUACAGUAUAAACAAGUCUAUAUACGAUGUGAGCAAAUGAGGUGAGAAGGGAGGUAAAGGCAAAAAAGGCCAUGGUGGCAAAGUAAAUACAAUAUAGCAAGUAAAACACUGGAAUGGUAGUUUUGCAAUGGAAGAAUGUGCAAAGUAGAAAUAAAAAUAAUGGUAGUGAGUCAUACUGGUCCUCCAUGGGAAUCAAAUCCACAACCCUGGUGUUGCAAGCACCAUGCUCUGCCAACUGAGCCACACGGGACACUAAUUCAAUGUAAUAUAAUAUUCACAGGCUGAUUUAAAGGAAUGUUCACCAACUCUUUGAAAAUGACUAUCAAACAACAAUGGAAUAUCUAAUCUUUAAAACUGUAGUAUUUCGUUCAUUUUUGCCAUCAGAUCUAAUUAUUUACCUCAACUGACUUGAUGCUCUGCCAUUUGUUUAGGUCAACACAAAUUAUCUUUAAAAAGUAAUCAUUGGUGAUUAAGUUAUUCUGUCCCUGACCAUCAUGAUCUUAAAGUGACGCUCUCUAACCUUAAGUUAUUUAAUUCAAUAUGUCACCUCAUCAUUUUGUAGCCAUUACUUUAAUGGCUGUCUGACAAAUGUAUUGGUGAUUAGGAAACCAGUCUUUUUUUGAAAUUGGUCCGUUGCUGAUGCCCUCAAGCAGACACCAACCAUAUUUCAGUAGGCCCUAUACUAUAAUAGAAAUGUCUCCAUAAAUAGUGGAACUAGACACCAUCUAUAAAGGCUGGGAACUUAUAAGGCUUUAAUAGUUCACCAUCUAUAAAGGCUGGGAACCUAUAAGGCUUUAAUAGUUCACCAUCUAUAAAGGCUGGGAACCUAUAAGGCUUUAAUAGUUCAUCUAUGUAAGUUGACGCUCCCAUCAUCGUGGGAGAUGACAGGAUUCAAGACAGAUUUUAUACAUAACAAUAUGGCAUAACUUUGUAUGUCAUAAUAACUACAAAUCAGUGAUUUUGGGGAUAUUAUAGAUGAGAUUAAGAAAACAAGUACAGAGCAAACCCAAUGAAUAGUGUUUAUGGCAAUAUUUGGGAAUCAUUUUACUAGUAUUUUCCAAAGAUUGUAUAUUUUUGUAAACCUGGUUAAAUUGUUUGUUAUCUGGACAACAAAUUGUUUUGAGUUAUCAUUUGGCAUUUUCCACUCAUUACUGGGAUGGCACUUAGUCCCAUUAAAACCAAUGGAGCCGGUUGGUGGUACUGCGCUUACGUCAGUUUUAUAAACUGGCUGGUUUGAGCCCUGAAUGCUGAUUGGCUGACAGCUGUGGUAUAUCAGACCUUAUACCACGGGUAUGACAAAAGCAUGCCUUUUUACUGCUCUAAUUACUUUGGUAACCAGUUUAUAAUAGCAAUGAAGGUCCUCAGGGGAUUGUGGUAUAUGGCCAAUAUACCACGGCUCAGGGCUGUGUCCACCCGCGUUACGUCGUACAGCCCUUAGCCGGGGUACCGUAUACCGCAAACCUCUGAGGUGCCAAACUGUUGAAAAUGCCAGUGAAGACACAUGCCUGCUGGUCCCGCGGCCUUGUGAAUGUUAACCUAUUUAAAGGUCUUACUCAGAUCAGCUACGGAGAAUGUGUUCACGCAUGGUUCAGUGUUGCUUGCCUCGAAGCGAGCAUAGAGCACAUUUAGCUAGUCUGGUAGGAUCGCGUCACUGGGCAGCUCACCGCUGUUUCCCUUUGUAAUCCGUGAUAGUUUGUUGUGCAGGUCCUCUUUGUCGAUGAAUUUGUCUUUGUUCUGGUUGGUCAUGUUAAAGGCUUCUUUCAAAUUCUGGAUCUGUGAUUGGUCGAACAUAACGAACACGUUGGAGGUUGCCCUCUGGAGGGGGUUCUGAACACGUUGGAGGUUGCCCUCUGGAGGGGGUUCUGAACACGUUGGAGGUUGCCCUCUGGAGGGGGUUCUGAACACGUUGGAGGUUGCCCUCUGGAGGGGGUUCUGAACAUGUUGGAGGUUGCCCUCUGGAGGGGGUUCUUAGUUAUCAAAUCAAAUCAAAUUUUAUUUGUCACAUACACAUGGUUAGCAGAUAUUAAUGCGAGUGUAGCGAAAUGCUUGUGCUUCUAGUUCCGACAAUGCAGUAAUAACCAACAAGUAAUCUAACAAUUCCAAAACUACUGUCUUAUACACAGUGUAAGGGGAUAAAGAAUAUGUACAUAAGGAUAUAUGAAUGAGUGAUGGUACAGAGCAGCAUAGGCAAGAUACAGUAGCUGAUAUCGAGUACAGUAUAUACAUAUGAGAUGAGUAUGUAAACAAAGUGGCAUAGUUAAAGUGGCUAGUGAUACAUGUAUUACAUAAGGAUGCAGUCGAUG